This 497-nucleotide ribosomal RNA is filed under the name uncultured bacterium. RNAcentral's name for it is "partial 16S ribosomal RNA". It matches the Rfam family "Bacterial small subunit ribosomal RNA", at positions 28 to 507 of the family's 1533-position model. The record is from RNAcentral.
GAUGAACGCUGGCGGCGUGCCUAAUACAUGCAAGUAGAACGCUGAAGCUUGGUGCUUGCACCGAGCGGAUGAGUUGCGAACGGGUGAGUAACGCGUAGGUAACCUGCCUCUUAGCGGGGGAUAACUAUUGGAAACGAUAGCUAAUACCGCAUAAAAGUCGAUAUCGCAUGAUAUUGAUUUGAAAGGUGCAAAUGCAUCACUAAGAGAUGGACCUGCGUUGUAUUAGCUAGUUGGUGAGGUAACGGCUCACCAAGGCGACGAUACAUAGCCGACCUGAGAGGGUGAUCGGCCACACUGGGACUGAGACACGGCCCAGACUCCUACGGGAGGCAGCAGUAGGGAAUCUUCGGCAAUGGGGGCAACCCUGACCGAGCAACGCCGCGUGAGUGAAGAAGGUUUUCGGAUCGUAAAGCUCUGUUGUAAGAGAAGAACGAGUGUGAGAGUGGAAAGUUCACACUGUGACGGUGACUUACCAGAAAGGGACGGCUAACUACGUG